CGCAUCUUGCGCUCCAUGGUAUUCCGUGGAGCAUGCCUGUUCGAGUGUCACGUCAACACUCACCCUUGUGAUGUCAAAAUCAUUUGUGGUGGACUUGGACUGUGCCGUAGCUGGCUCGUCCUGAAAUUCAUUAGCUUGCGCUUUUAGAGUGCUGGGCACCGGUGUGAUAAUUAUCUGCGCCAAUGCCUCAAGGCCUCUUCAGCGGCGCGGCUUAUAACCGUCCUGACAGACACUAUUAUAAAGCUUUGGCCUCGAAUCAGGUAGGACUACCCGCUGAACUUAA
This 283-nucleotide unclassified non-coding RNA is filed under the name Exidiopsis sp. Its description in RNAcentral is "partial contains 5.8S ribosomal RNA, internal transcribed spacer 2, and large subunit ribosomal RNA". Lineage: Eukaryota; Fungi; Basidiomycota; Agaricomycetes; Auriculariales; Exidiaceae. The record is from RNAcentral.